GGUGCCUCCUCGCUGGCCGUGCUCCUUCCCGGCACUGGCUUCUCUGAGCCACCAACCUGCGGCUGCCCCUGCUGCCUGCGCCCCCGGCAGCACCAUGACAGAUCAGGCCUUUGUGACACUGACCACAAACGAUGCCUACGCCAAAGGUGCCCUGGUCUUGGACUCAUCUCCGAAACAGCGCAGGACCACCAGGAAGCUGGUCAUGUUUGCCACCCCACAGGUCUCAGACUCCAUGAGAAAAGUUUUAGAGACAGUCUUUGAUGAAGUCAUUAUGGUAGAUGUCUUGGACAGUGGUGAUUCUGCUCAUCUAACCUUAAUGAAGAGGCCAGAGUUGCGUGUCACGCUGACAAAGCUCCACUGCUGGUCACUCACACAGUAUUCAAAAUGUGUAUUCAUGGAUGCAGGUACUCUGGUCCUAGCAAAUAUUGAUGAUCUUUUUGAGAAAGAAGAAUUGUCAGUAGCACCAGACCCAGGGGGGGCCUGACUGCUUUAAUUCCAGAGUUUUCGUUUAUCAGCCUUCAGUUGAAACAUAUAAUUGGCUGUUCGUCUUGCUUCUGAGCAAGGUAGUUUUGAUGGUGGGGACCAAGGCAUACUGAACACAUUUUUUAGCAGCUGGGCAACAACAGAUAUCAGAAAACACCUGCCAUUUAUUUAUAACCUAAGCAGCAUCUCUAUAUAUUCCUACCUCCCAGCAUUUAAAGUGUUUGGUGCAAGUGCGAAAGUUGUGCAUUUCCUGGGAAGAGUCAAACCAUGGAAUUAUACUUAUGAUCCCAAAACAAAAAGUGUCAAAAGUGAGUCCCAUGAUCCCAACAUGACUCAUCCAGAGUUUCUUAUCUUGUGGUGGAACAUCUUUACUACCAACAUUUUACCUCUACUUCAACAAUUUGGCCUUGUCAAAGACACCUGCUCAUACGUAAAUGUGGAAGAUGUCUCAGGAGCCAUAUCACAUCUGUCCCUUGGGGAGAUCCCAGCUAUGGCACAGCCUUUUGUAUCCUCGGAAGAACGGAAGGAGCGGUGGGAACAAGGCCAGGCCGAUUACAUGGGAGUAGAUUCCUUUGACAACAUCAAGAGGAAACUUGACACUUACCUCCAGUAGAAACACUGCAUUUUACUGUGAACAUAUACACUUCACAAGCCUUUCUGAUACUUAGUAUCUAGAGCUGGGUUGAGAAAAGUCUGUUACAGUUGCUAGAGGUUUUCACUAAAACUUAUCAGAUGAGAGCUUUUUGUAGGACGAGAGGUGAGAACUGGGCAAAAGUUGUAAAGCAGCAAUUCUGUUAUAUGGACAGUGUUCUGCUUUUUAAUCCUAUUUAGCUCAUUUCAGAAAUUCUUACUUUUGUUGACUGCCAACAUACGAAGCAAGGGAAACUCAAUAUUAAGCUUUUAAGAUGGCUAUAUCAUUUCUUAAAAUCUGCAGAGCCUGGUUCCAAAUCAGUCACUCCCUUCAGAAGCAGAUAUUGCAUCUGUUCCUUACUUGCUUGCUGGUUGUGCCUAACUUUCACUAGACCCACAUUUUAGAAUUGCCCAGUGCUGCUAGAAUGAGUGAUUGUAAUUCUGCUUUCAGGUAAAGAUAAUCUAUGUUAACACUGCCGAGUGAUUCAUAAACUAUCAACGAAUAGCAUUAACCCAUUUUAUUUCCUGGUCCUAGUGUUUGAAGAUGUUCACCAGUUUUCUAUGUACAGUAAGGCAGCAUGCUAAAAUGCUUUUGUUCAGUUCUGCAUAUUUGAAAAUAGCAGCGUGUUCUCUGAUGGUUACCUGCAGUGGCACCCUGUACGGAAAAUAAAGACUUAUAGCCGUAAAAAAAAA
This is a non-coding RNA of Callithrix jacchus (white-tufted-ear marmoset), 1806 nucleotides long. NCBI's taxonomy places the organism in Eukaryota, Metazoa, Chordata, Mammalia, Primates, Cebidae. The record is from RefSeq and is a predicted model, not a curated record.